This 440-nucleotide ribosomal RNA is filed under the name uncultured bacterium. RNAcentral describes it as "partial 16S ribosomal RNA". It matches the Rfam family "Bacterial small subunit ribosomal RNA", at positions 338 to 795 of the family's 1533-position model. The record is from RNAcentral.
CCUACGGGAGGCAGCAGUGGGGAAUAUUGGACAAUGGGGGAAACCCUGAUCCAGCGACGCCGCGUGAGUGAAGAAGUAUUUCGGUACGUAAAGCUCUAUCAGCAGGAAAGAAAAUGACGGUACCUGACUAAGAAGCCCCGGCUAACUACGUGCCAGCAGCCGCGGUAAUACGUAGGGGGCAAGCGUUAUCCGGAUUUACUGGGUGUAAAGGGAGCGUAGACGGCAGCACAAGUCUGGAGUGAAAUCCCGGGGCUUAACCCCGGAACUGCUUUUGAAACUGUGCGGCUGGAGUGCAGGAGGGGUAAGCGGAAUUCCUAGUGUAGCGGUGAAAUGCGUAGAUAUUAGGAGGAACACCGGUGGCGAAGGCGGCUUACUGGACUGUAACUGACGUUGAGGCUCGAAAGCGUGGGGAGCAAACAGGAUUAGAUACCCCGGUAGUC